Lathyrus oleraceus (garden pea) is the source of this 91-nucleotide small nucleolar RNA. RefSeq annotates it as small nucleolar RNA Z266. NCBI's taxonomy places the organism in Eukaryota, Viridiplantae, Streptophyta, Magnoliopsida, Fabales, Fabaceae. The transcript has a single exon. The record is from RefSeq and is a predicted model, not a curated record.
UUGAUACAAGGAUGAUGAUUCAAUUAGAUGUGUGAAAAGAGAAAUCUUUUUUGAACACAAUUAUUGAGGCAAACUGUCUGACUUGCAUUUA